Long non-coding RNA from Vicia villosa (hairy vetch), 276 nucleotides. RefSeq lists it as uncharacterized. NCBI's taxonomy places the organism in Eukaryota, Viridiplantae, Streptophyta, Magnoliopsida, Fabales, Fabaceae. The transcript is spliced from 3 exons. The record is from RefSeq and is a predicted model, not a curated record.
CCGAAGUCAACGGGACGCACAGGUAUCCCGAACUAAAUCUAGCAACAUUACUUGGAUCCAAGUGCAGUGUCCGCAACAGAAAAACAGUUACGAUUGCGGAUACUUUGUAUUGAGGUUUAUGAAAGAAAUCCUUCAGGCAAAUCAAUUAGAGAUUCCGCUCACGUACCUUGACGAAUUCCGUGCCGCUGGAUACCCGAAACUUAAGUUGGAAGAAAUAAAAGAGGAUUUGUGUCAUUUUUAUAUUAAGCGCUUUUUCAUGUAGGAUUUGUGUCGAAU